CGUCGGCGUCACACGGAACCCGGCCCAGACACACCUGCCUCACUACACCUUUCCUUUCGUAACACCUGAGAACCCUUUACCUUUACCCCCUUUCCGAGCCUUUUCCCGUCGCGUUCCUGAGGUGAAAAGACUCAAAAACGCGCAUUCGACUCCGAAGAAAGAAGAAAGUUUUAAGUAAGCGUUUUGAGUUCGUGUGUAUAUAAAACCACAACAAACCUUAAGUUCCCCCGUAAAGUGAGCGCUGCCGGACUCUUAUGCGUGUCACCAUGGCGUUAGCGAGUGCGUAGCGUGCGUGGCGGGAGAGGAACAGUUGCGUGAGUCCCGUGUGCUUGAGCCAGGCGAGGGACGCAGCCAUGGGUGUGGGGGGCGUGCUGACCCUCACACUGGCGCUCCUUGCUGCCACACUCGUCGCUUCUAACGAAGAAGGCGCCGGCGGUGUCGUAGCAGGGAUUGCGGACGCCCAGGAGACACAAU
Molecule: long non-coding RNA, 474 nt
Organism: Eriocheir sinensis (Chinese mitten crab)
Lineage: Eukaryota; Metazoa; Arthropoda; Malacostraca; Decapoda; Varunidae
Exons: 3
Source: RefSeq, a predicted model, not a curated record